Molecule: ribosomal RNA, 492 nt
Filed under: uncultured bacterium
Lineage: Bacteria
Description: partial 16S ribosomal RNA
Rfam family: Bacterial small subunit ribosomal RNA
Source: RNAcentral
AGUGAACGCUGGCGGUAGGCCUAACACAUGCAAGUCGAACGGCAGCACAGUAAGAUCUUGCUCUUACGGGUGGCGAGUGGCGGACGGGUGAGGAAUACAUCGGAAUCUACUUUUUCGUGGGGGAUAACGUAGGGAAACUUACGCUAAUACCGCAUACGACCUACGGGUGAAAGCAGUGGAUCUUCGGACCUUGCGCGAUUGAAUGAGCCGAGGUCGGAUUAGCUAGUUGGCGGGGUAAAGGCCCACCAAGGCGACGAUCCGUAGCUGGUCUGAGAGGAUGAUCAGCCACACUGGAACUGAGACACGGUCCAGACUCCUACGGGAGGCAGCAGUGGGGAAUAUUGGUCAAUGGGCGCAAGCCUGAUCCAGCCAUACCGCGUGGGUGAAGAAGGCCUUCGGGUUGUAAAGCCCUUUUGUUGGGAAAGAAAAGCAGCAGGUGAAUACCCCGCUGUUCUGACGGUACCCAAAGAAUAAGCACCGGCUAACUUCGUG